CAACUAGCAGAGCAAGCAGACAUAUUUGAGGAGUGUGACGGUCCCGAGUAGUGGGUCACACUAUGUCACAUCGGCUGCUGACAAUUUAUUGUUGAAUAUAAAGAAUUAAGGACUAUGGUUGUAAUGUAUGCUGAUUCACUACCGGCUUAUCACUGUGGCGGAUCCAGGGAGCUGAAUGCAGUUAUUUCCGAAUCUCUGGAAUAUCUUUGUGGUUGUGAAUCGAAAUUUGAAGUGAAAUUUGAACACUGAAAAGUCUUGUGAGUGACAGAAGAUCUGUGAUUUAAUUUAUUUGUGAUGUUAAGUGAAUAUAUCUAGUGAUAGCUAGAUAAAAGUGCCAUCGGUUUGUAUACUAUUUCUAAAUCCAAUAAAUUAUAAAUAGUGUAA
Molecule: long non-coding RNA, 384 nt
Filed under: Penaeus japonicus
Lineage: Eukaryota; Metazoa; Arthropoda; Malacostraca; Decapoda; Penaeidae
Description: uncharacterized LOC122258631
Source: RNAcentral